AAGUCGUAACAAGGUCUCCGUUGGUGAACUAGCGGAGGGAUUAUUACUAAGUACUAUAACUUAUAACCCUUUGUGAACCUUUAUACCUAUUACUUCGGCGGCGCGCCUCUUGGGGCGUGCCCGCUAGUAUUAUUAGAAUCUCUAUUUAAACCCGACGAUACUUCUAAGUAUUCUAAGCGAACUAUUAAAACUUUUAAUAACGGAUCUCUUAGCUCUA
Molecule: unclassified non-coding RNA, 217 nt
Filed under: fungal sp.
Lineage: Eukaryota; Fungi
Description: partial internal transcribed spacer region
Source: RNAcentral